GAUGAACGCUAGCUACAGGCUUAACACAUGCAAGUCGAGGGGAAACGAUAGAGAAAGCUUGCUUUUUCUAGGCGUCGACCGGCGCACGGGUGAGUAACGCGUAUCCAACCUGCCCACCACUUGGGGAUAACCUUGCGAAAGUACGACUAAUACCCAAUGAUAUCUCUAGAAGACAUCUGAAAGGGAUUAAAGAUUUAUCGGUGAUGGAUGGGGAUGCGUAUGAUUAGCUUGUUGGCGGGGUAACGGCCCACCAAGGCUACGAUCAGUAGGGGUUAUGAGAGGAAGGUCCCCCACAUUGGAACUGAGACACGGUCCAAACUCCUACGGGAGGCAGCAGUGCGGAAUAUUGGUCAAUGGACGAGAGUCUGAACCAGCCAAGUAGCGUGCAGGAUGACGGCCCUAUGGGUUGUAGACUGCUUUUAUAAGGGAAUAAAGUGAGUCUCGCGAGACUUUUUGCAUGUACCUUAUGAAUAAGGACCGGCUAAUUCCGUGCCAGCCGCCGCAGUAA
This 508-nucleotide ribosomal RNA is filed under the name uncultured bacterium. RNAcentral's name for it is "partial 16S ribosomal RNA". It matches the Rfam family "Bacterial small subunit ribosomal RNA", at positions 28 to 523 of the family's 1533-position model. The record is from RNAcentral.